CCUACGGGUGGCUGCAGUGGGGAAUAUUGCUCAAUGGGGGAAACCCUGAAGCAGCCACGCCGCGUGGAGGAUGAAGGUUUUCGGAUUGUAAACUCCUUUUGUUAGAGAAGAUAAUGACGGUAUCUAACGAAUAAGCACCGGCUCACUCCGUGCCAGCAGCCGCGGUGAUACGGAGGGUGCAAGCGUUACUCGGAAUCACUGGGCGUAAAGAGCGCGUAGGCGGGAUAGCAAGUCAGUUGUGAAAUCCGAUGGCUUAACCAUAGAACUGCGUUUGAAACUGUUAUUCUAGAGUAGGGGAGAGGUAGGUGGAAUGCGUGGUGUAGGGGUAAAAUGCGUAGAGAUCAAGAGGAAUACUCAUUGCGAAGGCGACCUACUAGAACAUAACUGACGCUGAUGCGCGAAAGCGUGGGGAGCAAACAGGAUUAGAUACCCGGGUAGUC
Molecule: ribosomal RNA, 440 nt
Filed under: uncultured bacterium
Lineage: Bacteria
Description: partial 16S ribosomal RNA
Rfam family: Bacterial small subunit ribosomal RNA
Source: RNAcentral